CUUCUGCGGUGAAAAUACUAAUUGGAAAAAUAGGACAAUGUUUUUAU
This 47-nucleotide ribosomal RNA is filed under the name Karlodinium veneficum. The record is from RNAcentral. Lineage: Eukaryota; Dinophyceae; Gymnodiniales; Kareniaceae.